Molecule: long non-coding RNA, 4638 nt
Organism: Solanum pennellii
Lineage: Eukaryota; Viridiplantae; Streptophyta; Magnoliopsida; Solanales; Solanaceae
Exons: 3
Source: RefSeq, a predicted model, not a curated record
AUUCCAUACACAACAAUACACCUACCCACUCUGCACGUUUUAUUUCUUCUUCCUUGUGUUUGAAUCCCAACAUCUUCUUCAGCGAUAAAUCAACAAAAAGAACGCAACAAAUAGCUGUAGGCCCGACUCAUCUACUCCGAACGGCGCAACAAUGUCCUCCAUAUGCGUGGUCUCUUUUUUUGUUCCUCAAUAGUAUGAUUUGUACGAGAAACAGAACCAAAUGGAGAAAUCUCGGCGCUUCACUCGUACUGGCGUCAUAAUCAACAGAUACCAUUCUCAAGUCAUUGAGAAUUGGUACUAGUCCAGCUGCGCCAUCCUCUUUUUCUGUGGACCCAUCACCUUCGCUGUCCCUAGUUCAUCUUUUCGGGGAUAUCCCACCCCUUUCUCACUUUUGCUUCGAAAAGAGCAUUUCAAAUUCACAUUUCAACACUUGUUACCCUCAUUCGACCAUAGUUUUUCUUUCUAUAUAAAUCUUUCAUCCCUCACUAUUUUAAGGAGGAUUUCCAUUUGAUAAUACAUGCCUAAAACAACUUCAAAAGUUUAGGGUCAAGAGUUCAAAAAAGAAUAUAAUUUUAACUUUUUCGAGUUCAUCGGAAUCUAGUGAAGUCAGAUUCAGUGUUAAGCUCUUCGAGCCUCAAUAGCUGCCCUGAAAAAGAUUAUUCGAGAAUGCAUAAGUGAUAUCUUGGUCAUUGUUUGGAUUUGUCUCCAUAAGGUUUGUCGUAAUUCCCUUUUAAAAUGGUUUACAUUUUUUAAGUUAUGUUGUUUAGAUAAAGAGAACUAGGAGUGGGAAUUGGAUUUCCAUCUAGGUUCUUUUUUAUCAUAAUUUGUUCAUCACUUUCUUUUCAAACAUUUAAAGUAGCAUGUUGUCCUCCUCUCUUGGCUCUUAUUUAAAAUUCAGUGUGUGCAUAUUUUAGUCUUAAUGUGUGUCUCUUUAAAAUUUUACUCAUAGAUUUGACUUGAAAGUUAGAUUCUUAUUUUUAAGUUGUUGGGAUCAUGUUAUUUUUAAAGAUGUUUUAUCUAAGUGUGUGAAAGAAUUCUUUCCGUUUCAAUUCUCUAAAUGAUUGAGCAUGAGAUGUGUAUUAAUUUUUCAAGAAGAAACUAUUGAAAGGAUUGUAUAAAGAUCACCUGCAGAGCAUUACUGAUGCUUUUGAUGCCUAUGUUCUCUGUUAAUACUUGUAGUCUUGAAUAAGUUGUAUCACAAUUAUCUCUAAUUGAAUGCAUACUUAUAUAUACAAAUUGUUAAAAUCCUUCACUUAUUCCUUUUCCCUUUAUUUUUGAUACAUUUGACAACAAUCCAAGUCCAUUUUGGACUCUUUCCCUGCAUUUCAUUGAGUUGAGAUCCUUAUCGAGUGAAGCAAGAUACGGGAAAAAAUCAAAUGACAUAUUUUAGAGGUUUAAAUAGGCUGUAUAUAUUUGAUAGGCAGUCCAAUAUUCAGGAAAAUGAGUCAAGAUAUGACCAGUAUACAUCAGUAUACACUCUGUGUAUACACAGAUUUCAAAGGCAAAAAUGGGGUCAAAGCCCAAUACAAUUGCAGCAGCAGCCCAAUCAGUUGGGCUGUGAGGGUUUGGGGCCAAGAAAAGCCCAAACUCAUUAUUUUCUUUCAUUGCUUGAUUACAUUUUACUUGCAAAUUGUUUGGUUCGGUUAACUCUAACGUUUGUUUUGUUUUAGUUUAACCAAAUUAAAUUCCCCAAAAGAUGAACUAUAAUCUUUAUGUUAGUUUAUUUUGACAAAAUUCAUUAUUUUUAUUUAAUAUCUUUAAAAUGGGUUUCAUACUUUAAAUAACUGAAUUGGUUCAAAUUGUUAUUUAAAAACAUAUCAAAUAAAUUUUAAUUUAUCUAAUUUAGUAAAAUCUAAAUCGCUUGAAAUUUAUUACAAAUAUUUCAAUUAAUAUCCUCUUUUAUUGAAAAAAUUUAAAAAUAUUCUUUGUUUAACUAUUUCCUCGAGUUAAUUACUUUUCUAAAAAAUAGUCAAAUGUUUAACCUAUGUUAUUGGAUAACAGCAUAUUAGCGGACACUUCAAAUGUCUUAAAAACCUUCUUGAAGCGUAAAUAAGAACCUCUUACCCAUUUUCUCUAAAUUUAUAAAGAUUUAAUCCGUUAAACUCUUUUUAAAUUAAGUUUUCUUAAUUUCUUUAAAAAAUUAAAUGGCGACUCUUUUCUAAGUAUUUUUCUUAAAUUGUUUUAUACUUAAAACAUUUCAAAAGUGAUUUUUCUAAAAAAGUAAAAUUACGGCAUAAUAGUUAUAGCUUGUUAAGAGUUGCUAUAGUUGAAUGGAGUCCUCUUGUGGAAUGAUAGGUUUUUUAUUGUUAUGUAUGGUGAUAGAAAAAUGUAAAUAUAUAGGCUUGAAAGGUUUUGGAGAAAAUGUAGUAAAUAGUGAAAGACGAAUGUUGCCUUGUUAUAUAUGUAGUAUUUCAUAGUUGUCCUUGUGUAGAUUGGAGUCUUUGUAUAGGCUUAAUCCUAAAAAGGGAAGGUAGUGUGCUUACCUUGUAAGAUGAUUAUUAAAUAUGCUAGUUAAUGAAAGAAUCCUUAUGACUGGUUGAUGAGUCCAUGUAUGAACCUAUUCUAAGAGUGGGGAAAAGGGGAAGAAAGGGUUUUAUUCCAUAAGUGGGGAUUAUGUUUUACUCUGAAGUUGAUUUAGAGGGAUGUAUGACAAAUAUCUACACACAUGUUUUGUAUGGAUUGGAACACAAACAUAUGAAAUUUAUGACUAUUUUUUUGACUUAUCUAACGUCUUAAAUCUAAAGAUAACCUAUCAAGUAUCAAUUGAUCACACUUUUUGAUAAAAUCAAAUGAACUAUUUUAUCAAAUGUGCUAAUAGAACUUGUGUUUCCAUCAAUACAUUGAAAAGCUCCGUGAAGACCUAAUCUCCCCUCCCAGAAAAAGGGAAAAAAACAAGAAGGAACAAAAUGCAAAAAAGUCGAAGUUCAUACAAUAAUUUUGACCAUGAGAAGAACAAUAGAAAAGUGUGACACAACAAGGAGCAUAACUGAAUAUUGAUCGUAGAACGAUCUUUUAGAUUUAGUAUACUAUAAUACUUCACUUUUUUUUAAAAAAACGAACCCCCGAGUCAUUACUUAUUGACCUCAUAAUCAAGCUGAAUCACAAAUUAUAAUUUUUUUUAAUUUGUUGGUGAUAUACUUAUUGUAGAAUUAUAUUCAACCUCUAUGAAAAGUCAAACAUAAUGAUUUCAUAUGUCCAUGAAACCAGUCAUGAUAGGAGGGGCUGAGUUUUGAUUGUCAUGCUAAUAUGAUUGAUUCUCCUGAACAAAAACUUUGAUAUCACAAGUGAGCGUAAAUAUACAUAUUUAAUAAUUUUUUAUCAUCGAAAGAAAACACAACUUUGCAGUUCCACUUAGUAAUGAAAAUUACAUAUAAAAUAUCUUAUGAAUUAAAUAGUUCUCUAGUUAAUUGACUUUAUUCCACAUAGGGGACAAUACAUUGUUCCAGUAGAUCGUACAACAAAAAGUAUAAAAGGCUCAUGCGUAAUAUUAGGCAUUUACAAAAGUGAUUAAAGUUAACUUUAGAUGCUUGCCCUACAAUCUUAUGUAUGAAAAAGUUAAUAAUAGAUAAAUGGACAUCAUGUUGUACAACAGAAUAAAUGAAUCAAUCAAAAAGAAUUCACGAAAACAAUAAGGAAGAAACAUUUGUUGGAUUACUUCCUGGAAGAAACUUUUGGAUUAGCUGGCUGGUUUAACUUCGUAUUACUGCUACUGCUCGUUGUUGAGAAAAUCUACUAUGAGCUGCUCUCUUAUCCUUUCUCUUUGGUAUGUAACUAGGGAUUUUUAAAAAAAAAGUGACAUUAAGGUUUCAAAAUAAAUGGCUGGUGACAUUAGUCUUAAGUAUUGGGUGUAGGUGAUAAUUAUGUGAUUAAUGAUUAAGGAUUGUGGAGUUGUCCUCAAGUUUAUAAGUUGACAGUUUGGUCCACUGAAUUAAAUGAAGGGUAAAAGGGUAAUUUUACAAUAUCCUAAUUUAACCUACUUUUGUUGGGAAUUAAAUGAGGGAUAAAAUGAUAAAUUGACUAUACCAAACCUAAUUUAACCAAUUUUGGUGGGAAAUAUCUAGCCAAAAGAGGAAAUAAAAGCUUUGUUCCCCGCCUCCAUCCGUCGUAUUCGUCCUCUUCUUCUUCUUCUACUCUCGUCUUUGCUUGCUUGCUUGCCUUUCUUCCUGCUCUCUUCAUUUUCCUCUUCUUCUUCUUCUUCUUAUUUUCGUACAUUGCGGGUCUUCGCUGUUAGUGCUUGUGCUUUCUUCUUCUUGAAUCAGUGUUUUACCUAAUCUGUAACUGGUGGACCAAAUUUCAAUUUAUUUCAAUCGGAAUUACUUCAUAAGUGACUGGGUUAUACACCAUUGUUUCUGGUACAAUGUAAGUAUUUGUAGAGAUUGAUUGUCGUGGUGAAUGGGUCGAGAAGACAAAUUGAUUCAUAUGGCGUUGGCAGGAUAGUAAAAAACGAAGAGCCGGUUUAGUAGGGAUGUAUGUCGAAAGAAAGAUUUUGUAUGAUGAGUUCCUUAAUAUAGUCGUGGAAAAGUCUAGAUUCAAUUGUAAACCGCAAGAUCUUUUCAUGAGUUACAUUUUCCAUUUUUUCUUUCAUAAUGAGAAGGUUUUACCUUUUAGAAUAACUAAUCAAUCUAGUUUGAGUGUUUA